GGGUAACAGUUGUCAAACUAAAUGUUCUAAAAGCCAAGAAACUUGUUAUGAUUCUGAAAUAGCCCAGGGUGCAAUGUUUUCUGGCCGUGGAACUUGCAACUGCGGUAAAUCCUUGUGUAACAAAACAAAAGACGAAGAUACCUAUACUGGAAAUUUCUGUGAAGUCCCACGUUGUAGAGAGCUGAAAGAACUUGUUUAGUGUUUAGCUUUUAAAACCGGAGCAUUAGCCGAAUAUGAUUGCCG
Molecule: long non-coding RNA, 243 nt
Organism: Daphnia carinata
Lineage: Eukaryota; Metazoa; Arthropoda; Branchiopoda; Diplostraca; Daphniidae
Exons: 3
Source: RefSeq, a predicted model, not a curated record